UGAUAGCAAUGAAGCGUGAGGUUGCUGUCCUGCAAAAAAAGAUAAGCAAGGGCAGGUUUUCCGUGGAGCGAAUGUCAAGUUAGGAAACUGGCGACAA
Molecule: non-coding RNA, 97 nt
Filed under: unclassified sequences
Description: S10-Clostridia ribosomal protein leader
Rfam family: S10-Clostridia ribosomal protein leader
Source: RNAcentral